GUUAGUAAUCAUGUUCCAGUUAGGCAACAAAAAACUAGCUAUUAUACCAGCAUUGUGUUGUUUAACCUUAGUCUCUACAAGUCCUACUAGGUCAAACUUAUUAGUUCUAAAGAAAUUUCUAGCUUCUUUUUGUUUGAACCUUUUAUUUACACCCCUAAUAUUACAAAAGAUCCACUUCAUUGAGUAUGGCUAGUUCCCCCUUCAUCCAGGGGAUGAUCAGCCCACCUAACUGUCCCAACUUCAAAUCUGUUAGACAACACUAUAGGA
RNAcentral lists this long non-coding RNA (267 nucleotides) under Nicotiana benthamiana. RNAcentral's name for it is "long non-coding RNA (NBEN_LNC032718)". The record is from RNAcentral. Lineage: Eukaryota; Viridiplantae; Streptophyta; Magnoliopsida; Solanales; Solanaceae.